This 486-nucleotide ribosomal RNA is filed under the name uncultured bacterium. Its description in RNAcentral is "partial 16S ribosomal RNA". It matches the Rfam family "Bacterial small subunit ribosomal RNA", at positions 30 to 507 of the family's 1533-position model. The record is from RNAcentral.
AUUGAACGCUGGCGGCAUGCCUUACACAUGCAAGUCGAACGGCAGCACGGGUGCUUGCACCUGGUGGCGAGUGGCGAACGGGUGAGUAAUACAUCGGAACAUGUCCUGUAGUGGGGGAUAGCCCGGCGAAAGCCGGAUUAAUACCGCAUACGAUCUACGGAUGAAAGCGGGGGACCUUCGGGCCUCGCGCUAUCGGGUUGGCCGAUGGCUGAUUAGCUAGUUUGUGGGGUAAAGGCCUACCAAGGCGACGAUCAGUAGCUGGUCUGAGAGGACGACCAGCCACACUGGGACUGAGACACGGCCCAGACUCCUACGGGAGGCAGCAGUGGGGAAUUUUGGACAAUGGGCGAAAGCCUGAUCCAGCAAUGCCGCGUGUGUGAAGAAGGCCUUCGGGUUGUAAAGCACUUUUGUCCGGAAAGAAAUCCUUGGCUCUAAUACAGUCGGGGGAUGACGGUACCGGAAGAAUAAGCACCGGCUAACUACGUG